RNAcentral lists this small nuclear RNA (23 nucleotides) under Arabidopsis thaliana (thale cress). RNAcentral's name for it is "snRNA_03640". Lineage: Eukaryota; Viridiplantae; Streptophyta; Magnoliopsida; Brassicales; Brassicaceae. The record is from RNAcentral.
UUGAGUUGAGUUGAGUUGGCCCA